GUGCCAGCAGCCGCGGUAAUACGUAGGUGGCAAGCGUUGUCCGGAAUUAUUGGGCGUAAAGGGCUCGCAGGCGGUUUCUUAAGUCUGAUGUGAAAGCCCCCGGCUCAACCGGGGAGGGUCAUUGGAAACUGGGAAACUUGAGUGCAGAAGAGGAGAGUGGGAUUCCACGUGUAGAGGUUAAAUGCGUAGGGAUGUGGAGGAAAACCGUGGGCGAAGGCGACUUUCUG
Molecule: ribosomal RNA, 227 nt
Filed under: uncultured bacterium
Lineage: Bacteria
Description: partial 16S rRNA
Rfam family: Bacterial small subunit ribosomal RNA
Source: RNAcentral